ACGCUGGCGGCAUGCUUAACACAUGCAAGUCGAACGUGAAAGCACUUCGGUGUGAGUAGAGUGGCGGACGGGUGAGUAACGCGUGGGAAUCUACCCAGUAGUGGGGGACAACUACCGGAAACGGUAGCUAAUACCGCAUACGCCCUAUGGGGGAAAGGCUUCGGCCGCUAUUGGAUGAGCCCGCGUCAGAUUAGCUAGUUGGUAGGGUAAAGGCCUACCAAGGCAACGAUCUGUAGCUGGUCUGAGAGGACGAACAGCCACACUGGGACUGAGACACGGCCCAGACUCCUACGGGAGGCAGCAGUGGGGAAUAUUGGACAAUGGGCGAAAGCCCGAUCCAGCAAUGCCGCGUGUGUGAAGAAGGCCUGCGGGUUGUAAAGCACUUUCAGUUGGGAAGAUGAUGACGUUACCAACAGAAGAAGCACCGGCUAAAUCCGUGCCAGCAGCCGCGGUAAUACGGAUGGUGCGAGCGUUAAUCGGAAUUACUGGGCGUAAAGCGCGCGUAGGCGGCUAAGUCAGUCAGAAGUGAAAGCCCCGGGCUCAACCUGGGAAUUGCUUUUGAUACUGCUUAGCUAGAGUUUGGUAGAGGAUAGUGGAAUUCCAGGUGUAGCGGUGAAAUGCGUAGAUAUCUGGAGGAACAUCAGUGGCGAAGGCGACUGUCUGGACCAAAACUGACGCUGAGGUGCGAAAGCGUGGGUAGCAAACAGGAUUAGAUACCCUGGUAGUCCACGCCGUAAACGAUGUCAACUAGCCGUCGGGUCUAUUUACAGACUUGGUGGCGAAGCUAACGCGAUAAGUUGACCGCCUGGGGAGUACGGCCGCAAGGUU
This 828-nucleotide ribosomal RNA is filed under the name uncultured Gammaproteobacteria bacterium. RNAcentral describes it as "bacterial SSU rRNA". It matches the Rfam family "Bacterial small subunit ribosomal RNA", at positions 33 to 895 of the family's 1533-position model. The record is from RNAcentral. Lineage: Bacteria; Pseudomonadati; Pseudomonadota; Gammaproteobacteria.